GACGGGGGGUGCGAGCGUUGUUCGGAAUCAUUGGGCGUAAAGCGCGUGCAGGUGGCUUUAUAAGUCAGAUGUGAAAGCCUAGGGCUUAACCCUAGAAGUGCAUUUGAAACUGUAAAGCUUGAGUAUGGAAGAGGGUCGUGGAAUUCCUGGUGUAGUGGUGAAAUACGUAGAUAUCAGGAGGAACACCGGUGGCGAAGGCGGCGGCCUGGUCCAAUACUGACACUCAUACGCGAAAGCGUGGGGAUCAAACAGG
This 253-nucleotide ribosomal RNA is filed under the name uncultured bacterium. RNAcentral describes it as "partial 16S ribosomal RNA". It matches the Rfam family "Bacterial small subunit ribosomal RNA", at positions 524 to 776 of the family's 1533-position model. The record is from RNAcentral.